GUGUGUUGUUCAUUCAUGCUUUAAAGUUGUCUAGUAAGACUGUUUAGCUUUUAGUCUGUCUUAGUUUUACUAGUGUGUGUAAGUUAUACUUCCUCGGCUAGCUAACUUCACGUAGUUAACUUCUUUUUCGUUGACUAGCUAAAUUCAGGGUGUCGAAUUUUUUGUGACGGAGUGCGCACGCAUCUUAAAAUUUUACUCACAUCAUUUUUCCAUAGCGCGCCAAAAGUAGUAUAACUUCAAUAAUUUCACGUUGAUUAAAAAUGUAGGAACCUAAUAUUCCUAACAUUCGCUAGGUUGUAUCUAAAGCUUUAAAACUUUGGAUCAAUAUAUUUUAACGACAUAGUUUAAAUUUAAAAAAAAAACAUUCAAAAACACAAUAUUUGCAUACGUGCUCACUGAAGA
RNAcentral lists this unclassified non-coding RNA (402 nucleotides) under Melitaea cinxia (Glanville fritillary). Its description in RNAcentral is "misc RNA ENSMCXG00005003080.1". Lineage: Eukaryota; Metazoa; Arthropoda; Insecta; Lepidoptera; Nymphalidae. The record is from RNAcentral.